AUAAAUAUGGUGUAUAUGUAAACAAAUAUACAUUUAGAAAAUACGAGAUUUCAUUUGCCAUGUUCACUGUUUAUUUUUUAUUGUCACUAUUUGACAUGGUAACAUACAUUUUUUUAUUUUAUUUUCUAUAUUUUUAUAUUGUGGUGGUCACUUUACUCUUUAUGCUUGCUAGUGUAUCAACAGAAUUUUCCCUUGUGGAUCAGUAAAGUAUUGCUAUUCUAUUUCUGUUCUAUAUAGCUGAUGGCAGUAAUAUUGAUCAGUAAAAAUGUAUUAAAUUAGUUAAAUAAUAUUAAUUAGUUGCUGAAUUCCAUUCAGUUUCAAGGUCCACUGUAAAUGUUAUUAGUAGCACCUUUGCUUCUCCCCCUAUGUCAAGUCAAGCUGUGAGUAAAAAGGUAAAAGUAAAAUUAAUGAUGACCACUUCCAGUCAAUUGUUUGCUGACUAACAACUCUGCAUAAGACAAUUAGUUAUACAUUUCUGUGUCAGGUGUCUUUAGUUGAAAUGGCUGAGAGUCAGGGGUUAACCCUGGUGUGCUUUAAUCUGUCCCAAAUUGAAAUGCAGGGAGGUGCUACAGCACAGCGGUGCCUGUUUGGACCCUGGUACUCCUGAGCCUCAGCGCCGAUGCCUGACCUGAAUUAGUGCUGUGAAGUCAACCGUGGAAAUGAUUCAGUGGCACUCCAGGCGAGUGGAGGAGAAUGUGGAAGAUGAAGGAGUGAGAAGGGGCGUUAAAGGACAAAUCCCCCACUAUGUGGAGCUGCUGCCAGGGACCCUCAUCUCUCCCGCUCACACACACACAGUAGUACCACAGACCCUGGGAAGCAGCCAGACGUGCAAUGAAGGAGGGUCAGCGGAGGGUCAAAGCAGAAGCAGCCAUGGUAGUUUUGUACUUGCAUGUACGAGAAAACAAUGCACAUAUGCAGACCACCUCUCUUCACUCACACCCACAUUCAACUUUAUUCACUCCCAUUUACUUGCAUAUCGUUAUCCUGUAACCCCACCUGUAUAAAUAAAGGAUGACAGGGACCACCUCUUCGUAGCUUACACUAGACGUGUCUCGUUACACUGGUGUGGUUAC
Long non-coding RNA from Amphiprion ocellaris (clown anemonefish), 1073 nucleotides. RefSeq lists it as uncharacterized. The record is from RefSeq and is a predicted model, not a curated record. NCBI's taxonomy places the organism in Eukaryota, Metazoa, Chordata, Actinopteri, Pomacentridae. The transcript is spliced from 3 exons.